AAAUCCAUACAACUUCUGGGAAAAGGUUGUUGCUGGCCUUUCGGGGCAUGUGCACGCCUCGACCGGAUGUUUAUGUUCCACUUCACACCUGUGCACCAACUGUAGCUAGGGAUGAUCACGGAGCCGUUGGUUCUGAAUGCCCUGGCUAUGAACGUUUUUUUACACCCCUGUAACAAAGUUUUUUGGAAUGUUAUGUCCACGUGUAACAACGUGAAUGAAAUACAACUUUCAGCAACGGAUCUCUUGGCUCUCGCAUCGAUGAAGAACGCAGCGAAAUGCGAUAAGUAAUGUGAAUUGCAGAAUUCAGUGAAUCAUCGAAUCUUUGAACGCACCUUGCGCUCCUUGGUAUUCCGAGGAGCAUGCCUGUUUGAGUGUCAUGAAAUUAUCAACUGCUUCGGCUUCGUUUCGAAGUGAAGUUGGAUUUGGAGUGCUUGCCGGCGUGUUUCGGCUCCUCUCAAAAGCAUAAACCCCUCUUUUGGUGGAAAGUAUCUUUGAUGUGAUAAUCAUUUACGUCGCAGAGAAAUCCUCGAGAGGAGUGGGGGUUGUUUAUGGCCCCUUUCAUUUGACCAAUUCGACCUCAAAUCAGGCAGGACUACCCG
RNAcentral lists this ribosomal RNA (599 nucleotides) under Sarcodon ioeides. Its description in RNAcentral is "eukaryotic LSU rRNA". The stretch from base 224 to 377 matches the Rfam family "5.8S ribosomal RNA". The record is from RNAcentral. Lineage: Eukaryota; Fungi; Basidiomycota; Agaricomycetes; Thelephorales; Thelephoraceae.